Molecule: transfer-messenger RNA, 366 nt
Filed under: Saprospiraceae
Lineage: Bacteria; Pseudomonadati; Bacteroidota; Saprospiria; Saprospirales
Also listed under: 1 other name
Description: JADKBO01 sp020436935 Standard tmRNA
Rfam family: transfer-messenger RNA
About the family: Bacterial tmRNA, also known as 10Sa RNA or SsrA, is named for its dual tRNA and mRNA-like properties.
Source: RNAcentral
GGGGUUGACCGGUAUCGACAGGGAAGUAGUCUCGAUAGUAAGCAUGUCGGAGCAAGGUUGCUCACUCCGUUAAAAAUGGUAAUCAAAAAUUAAUUGGCGAGUCUAACUACGCCUUGGCUGCUUAAUAUUAGAUAUUAAAAGCCUUGAAGCCUCAUGCUUGACGCCUGAUACACAGCACGACGCUUUCAAAACCUUCAGGAUAGAACAGUAAGCUUACUCGAUUGCUGUUUGAAAUUCAGAGUAUAGGAGAGGUCCACGUUGUUCUUGUACUGAAGCCAAUCCGAAAUCCCUGAACAAGGACUAAACAUGUAGAAAGCUUUCAAGAGCUUUGUCUGGACAGGAGUUCGAUUCUCCUCAGCUCCACAA